UAAUAUGCAUUGAAAAAAUAAAAUCCAUUAGUUCCAAGAAUAAUUUAAUAGCAUGGACUAUUUAAUUUUUAACGGAGCAAUAUCAAUGAAUGGUAUAAUAGGAAAUGACUAAACAAAAUUUAUUGCUUUAACUAUAUUAACUACAUUUUCUUAAACUAUGUCAAAAUAGAAAUACACCUAUCUUCAUGGAACAGAGCAAGUAUAAAAUAGUUAAAUCUUUUACCACAUGGUGAUAAGAAGAGUCACGUUAUCCUGUUAGGUUAUUUGGAUCUUUUCACAGUUAAUCUUUUAUCAUAGAAAAAAACAAUUAGUAAAAAUAUGCAGAGAGAAAUAACACACAACUACAACAAAAAACAGAAAACCAGGAAGAGAUUCUGGAUCCAAGCACAAGAAGCAUAAAUUUUGAUAACAUUUCACACCUACAGCAACCUCUGCCCUGACAA
Molecule: unclassified non-coding RNA, 443 nt
Filed under: Hevea brasiliensis (rubber tree)
Lineage: Eukaryota; Viridiplantae; Streptophyta; Magnoliopsida; Malpighiales; Euphorbiaceae
Source: RNAcentral